GAACGCUAGCUACAGGCUUAACACAUGCAAGUCGAGGGGCAGCAUGGUCUUAGCUUGCUAAGGCCGAUGGCGACCGGCGCACGGGUGAGUAACACGUAUCCAACCUGCCGUCUACUCUUGGACAGCCUUCUGAAAGGAAGAUUAAUACAAGAUGGCAUCAUGAGUCCGCAUGUUCACAUGAUUAAAGGUAUUCCGGUAGACGAUGGGGAUGCGUUCCAUUAGAUAGUAGGCGGGGUAACGGCCCACCUAGUCUUCGAUGGAUAGGGGUUCUGAGAGGAAGGUCCCCCACAUUGGAACUGAGACACGGUCCAAACUCCUACGGGAGGCAGCAGUGAGGAAUAUUGGUCAAUGGGCGAGAGCCUGAACCAGCCAAGUAGCGUGAAGGAUGACUGCCCUAUGGGUUGUAAACUUCUUUUAUAAAGGAAUAAAGUCGGGUAUGGAUACCCGUUUGCAUGUACUUUAUGAAUAAGGAUCGGCUAACUCCGUGCCAGCAGCCGCGGUAAUACGGAGGAUCCGAGCGUUAUCCGGAUUUAUUGGGUUUAAAGGGAGCGUAGAUGGAUGUUUAAGUCAGUUGUGAAAGUUUGCGGCUCAACCGUAAAAUUGCAGUUGAUACUGGAUAUCUUGAGUGCAGUUGAGGCAGGCGGAAUUCGUGGUGUAGCGGUGAAAUGCUUAGAUAUCACGAAGAACUCCGAUUGCGAAGGCAGCCUGCUAAGCUGCAACUGACAUUGAGGCUCGAAAGUGUGGGUAUCAAACAGGAUUAGAUACCCUGGUAGUCCACACGGUAAACGAUGAAUACUCGCUGUUUGCGAUAUACAGCAAGCGGCCAAGCGAAAGCGUUAAGUAUUCCACCUGGGGAGUACGCCGGCAACGGUGAAACUCAAAGGAAUUGACGGGGGCCCGCACAAGCGGAGGAACAUGUGGUUUAAUUCGAUGAUACGCGAGGAACCUUACCCGGGCUUAAAUUGCAGAUGAAUUACGGUGAAAGCCGUAAGCCGCAAGGCAUCUGUGAAGGUGCUGCAUGGUUGUCGUCAGCUCGUGCCGUGAGGUGUCGGCUUAAGUGCCAUAACGAGCGCAACCCUUGUUGUCAGUUACUAACAGGUUCCGCUGAGGACUCUGACAAGACUGCCAUCGUAAGAUGUGAGGAAGGUGGGGAUGACGUCAAAUCAGCACGGCCCUUACGUCCGGGGCUACACACGUGUUACAAUGGGGGGUACAGAGGGCCGCUACCACGCGAGUGGAUGCCAAUCCCAAAAACCUCUCUCAGUUCGGACUGGAGUCUGCAACCCGACUCCACGAAGCUGGAUUCGCUAGUAAUCGCGCAUCAGCCACGGCGCGGUGAAUACGUUCCCGGGCCUUGUACACACCGCCCGUCAAGCCAUGGGAGCCGGGGGUACCUGAAGUGCGUAACCGCGAGGAGCGCCCUAGGGUAAAACUGGUA
RNAcentral lists this ribosomal RNA (1438 nucleotides) under uncultured bacterium. Its description in RNAcentral is "bacterial SSU rRNA". It matches the Rfam family "Bacterial small subunit ribosomal RNA". The record is from RNAcentral.